GCAUUCACUUAGGGUGAGUAAGAAAUAAGUUGGGGAGAACGAAAAUGAGAAUCGGUAAGUGCCACAACUCUUGAAAAACCGAGCAAGCAUAAAAAAAAACACAAAAAUAUAUAUGUAUAUAUAACAUAGAAAAGAGAAACAUCUAUUUUGUAAAUAUGAUGUGAAAGAAAAGAAAAAAAAUAGAGAAAAUAAAAAUGAAUGCUUGCUUGGAAGAAAAAUAGUGGAAAAAAAAAUUGAGUUGUGAAAUAAGAGUUGUGAAGGUUUCAAAUGAGAAAUAAAUGGAACGAAGUUGAGAUGUGUGAAUAAUGUAUAAUGAAUGUCUCUUUU
RNAcentral lists this long non-coding RNA (327 nucleotides) under Lathyrus oleraceus (garden pea). Its description in RNAcentral is "Pisum sativum (pea) long non-coding RNA (PSAT_LNC030142)". Lineage: Eukaryota; Viridiplantae; Streptophyta; Magnoliopsida; Fabales; Fabaceae. The record is from RNAcentral.